RNAcentral lists this ribosomal RNA (411 nucleotides) under Rhizobium leguminosarum. RNAcentral describes it as "bacterial SSU rRNA". It matches the Rfam family "Bacterial small subunit ribosomal RNA", at positions 18 to 477 of the family's 1533-position model. Lineage: Bacteria; Pseudomonadati; Pseudomonadota; Alphaproteobacteria; Hyphomicrobiales; Rhizobiaceae. The record is from RNAcentral.
CCUGGCUCAGAACGAACGCUGGCGGCAGGCUUAACACAUGCAAGUCGAGCGCCCCGCAAGGGGAGCGGCAGACGGGUGAGUAACGCGUGGGAAUCUACCCUUGACUACGGAAUAACGCAGGGAAACUUGUGCUAAUACCGUAUGUGUCCUUCGGGAGAAAGAUUUAUCGGUCAAGGAUGAGCCCGCGUUGGAUUAGCUAGUUGGUGGGGUAAAGGCCUACCAAGGCGACGAUCCAUAGCUGGUCUGAGAGGAUGAUCAGCCACAUUGGGACUGAGACACGGCCCAAACUCCUACGGGAGGCAGCAGUGGGGAAUAUUGGACAAUGGGCGCAAGCCUGAUCCAGCCAUGCCGCGUGAGUGAUGAAGGCCCUAGGGUUGUAAAGCUCUUUCACCGGAGAAGAUAAUGACGGUA